This 462-nucleotide ribosomal RNA is filed under the name marine bacterium 13729. RNAcentral describes it as "bacterial SSU rRNA". It matches the Rfam family "Bacterial small subunit ribosomal RNA", at positions 21 to 491 of the family's 1533-position model. Lineage: Bacteria; Bacillati; Actinomycetota; Actinomycetes; Micrococcales; Brevibacteriaceae. The record is from RNAcentral.
UGCUCAGGACGAACGCUGGCUGCGUGCUUAACACAUGCAAGUCGAACGCUGAAGCCUGGUGCUUGCACCGGGUGGAUGAGUGGCGAACGGGUGAGUAACACGUGAGUAACCUGCCCCUGACUUCGGGAAUAAGCCCGGGAAACUGGGUCUAAUACCGGAUACGACUGCCGGACGCAUGUCUGGUGGUGGAAAGUUUUUUCGGUUGGGGAUGGGCUCGCGGCCUAUCAGUUUGUUGGUGAGGUAAUGGCUCACCAAGACGACGACGGGUAGCCGGCCUGAGAGGGCGACCGGCCACACUGGGACUGAGACACGGCCCAGACUCCUACGGGAGGCAGCAGUGGGGAAUAUUGCACAAUGGGGGAAACCCUGAUGCAGCGACGCAGCGUGCGGGAUGACGGCCUUCGGGUUGUAAACCGCUUUCAGCAGGGAAGAAGCGCAAGUGACGGUACCUGCAGAAGAAGU